CCUACGGUAGGCAGCAGUAGGGAAUAUUGCUCAAUGGAGGAAACCCUGAAGCAGCAACGCCGCGUGGAGGAUGAAGGUUUUCGGAUUGUAAACUCCUUUUGUUAGGGAAGAUAAUGACGGUAUCUAACGAAUAAGCACCGGCUAACUCCGUGCCAGCAGCCGCGGUAAUACGGAGGGGGCAAGCGUUACUCGGAUUCACUGGGCGUAAAGAGGGCGUAGGCGGGAUAGCAAGUCAGAUGUGAAAUCCUAUGGCUUAACCAUAGAACUGCAUUUGAAACUGUUAUUCUAGAGUAUGGGAGAGGUAGGUGGAAUUCUUGGUGUAGGGGUAAAAUCCGUAGAGAUCAAGAGGAACACUCAUUGCGAAGGCGACCUGCUAGACCAUAACUGACGCUGAUGCGCGAAAGCGUGGGGAGCAAACAGGAUUAGAUACCCUGGUAGUC
RNAcentral lists this ribosomal RNA (440 nucleotides) under uncultured bacterium. RNAcentral describes it as "partial 16S ribosomal RNA". It matches the Rfam family "Bacterial small subunit ribosomal RNA", at positions 338 to 795 of the family's 1533-position model. The record is from RNAcentral.